Molecule: ribosomal RNA, 467 nt
Filed under: uncultured bacterium
Lineage: Bacteria
Description: partial 16S ribosomal RNA
Rfam family: Bacterial small subunit ribosomal RNA
Source: RNAcentral
ACGAACGCUGGCGGCGUGCUUAACCCAUGCAAGUCGAACGGAAAGGCCCUGCUUUUGUGGGGUUCUCGAGUGGCGAACGGGUGAGUAACACGUGAGUAACCUACCCUUGACUUUGGGAUAACUUCAGGAAACUUGGGCUAAUACCGGAUAGGAGCUCCUGCUGCAUGGUGGGGGUUGGAAAGUUUCGGCGGUUGGGGAUGGACUCGCGGCUUAUCAGCUUGUUGGUGGGGUAGUGGCUUACCAAGGCUUUGACGGGUAGCCGGCCUGAGAGGGUGACCGGCCACAUUGGGACUGAGAUACGGCCCAGACUCCUACGGGAGGCAGCAGUGGGGAAUAUUGCACAAUGGGCGGAAGCCUGAUGCAGCAACGCCGCGUGCGGGAUGACGGCCUUCGGGUUGUAAACCGCUUUCGCCUGUGACGAAGCGUGAGUGACGGUAAUGGGUAAAGAAGCACCGGCUAACUACGUG